AAGUCGUAACAAGGUUUCCGUAGGUGAACCUGCGGAAGGAUCAUUGUCGAAACCUGCCCAGCAGAACGACCCGCGAACCUGUCACAACAACUGGGGGCGGGGGGCGAUCUCGCGCCCCGCCCUCGAACGGCAGGGAGACACUCGUGCCUUCCUGCCGAACAACGUACCCCGGCGCGGUCCGCGCCAAGGAACAUGAACGAAAGAGUGCCUCCGGUCGCCUCGGAAACGCUGCGCGCACCGGGGGCGAAUCUUGUCUAGAACCAUAACGACUCUCGGCAACGGAUAUCUCGGCUCUC
This 296-nucleotide unclassified non-coding RNA is filed under the name air metagenome. RNAcentral describes it as "partial contains small subunit ribosomal RNA, internal transcribed spacer 1, and 5.8S ribosomal RNA". The stretch from base 1 to 46 matches the Rfam family "Eukaryotic small subunit ribosomal RNA", at positions 1786 to 1831 of the family's 1831-position model. The record is from RNAcentral.